Molecule: ribosomal RNA, 402 nt
Filed under: uncultured bacterium
Lineage: Bacteria
Description: bacterial SSU rRNA
Rfam family: Bacterial small subunit ribosomal RNA
Source: RNAcentral
UUUUGGACGAUGGGGGCAACCCUGAUCCAGCAAUGCCGCGUGAGUGAAGAAGGCCUUCGGGUUGUAAAGCUCUUUUGUCAGGGAAGAAACACCGGCUCUAACACAGUCCGGGAAUGACGGUACCUGAAGAAUAAGCACCGGCUAACUACGUGCCAGCAGCCGCGGUAAUACGUAGGGUGCAAGCGUUAAUCGGAAUUACUGGGCGUAAAGCGUGCGCAGGCGGUUAUACAAGACAGGCGUGAAAUCCCCGGGCUUAACCUGGGAAUGGCGCCUGUGACUGUAUAGCUAGAGUGUGUCAGAGGGGGGUAGAAUUCCACGUGUAGCAGUGAAAUGCGUAGAUAUGUGGAGGAAUACCAAUGGCGAAGGCAGCCCCCUGGGAUAACACUGACGCUCAUGCACGAA